GGAAUUUUGGACAAUGGGCGCAAGCCUGAUCCAGCCAUGCCGCGUGUGUGAAGAAGGCCUUCGGGUUGUAAAGCACUUUCGGACGGAACGAAAUCGUCCCCGUUAAUAGCGGGGAUGGAUGACGGUACCGUCAGAAGAAGCACCGGCUAACUACGUGCCAGCAGCCGCGGUAAUACGUAGGGUGCGAGCGUUAAUCGGAAUUACUGGGCGUAAAGUGUGCGUAGGCGGCGUCGCAAGUCGAGUGUGAAAGCCCCGAGCUUAACUUGGGAAUUGCGCUCGAAACUACGGUGCUCGAGUGUGGCAGAGGGAGGUGGAAUUCCACGUGUAGCGGUGAAAUGCGUAGAGAUGUGGAGGAACACCAAUGGCGAAGGCAGCCUCCUGGGCCAACACUGACGCUCAUGCACGAAAGCGUGGGGAGCAAAC
Molecule: ribosomal RNA, 423 nt
Filed under: uncultured bacterium
Lineage: Bacteria
Description: bacterial SSU rRNA
Rfam family: Bacterial small subunit ribosomal RNA
Source: RNAcentral